AUUCUCAGGGCGGGGUGAAAGUCCCCACCGGUGGUGACAGCCCACGAGCCUUCCGAGGUAAGAUCCGGGUGUAAUUCCCGAGCCGACGGUAAAAGUCCGGAUAGGAGAGAGUA
This 113-nucleotide non-coding RNA is filed under the name uncultured Ruminobacter sp. Its description in RNAcentral is "FMN riboswitch (RFN element)". It matches the Rfam family "FMN riboswitch aptamer (RFN element)". Rfam says of the family: The RFN element is a highly conserved domain that is found frequently in the 5'-untranslated regions of prokaryotic mRNAs that encode for flavin mononucleotide (FMN) biosynthesis and transport proteins. This element is a metabolite-dependent riboswitch that directly binds FMN in the absence of proteins. In Bacillus subtilis, the riboswitch most likely controls gene expression by causing premature transcription termination within the 5' untranslated region of the ribDEAHT operon and precluding access to the ribosome-binding site of ypaA mRNA. The record is from RNAcentral. Lineage: Bacteria; Pseudomonadati; Pseudomonadota; Gammaproteobacteria; Aeromonadales; Succinivibrionaceae.